GUGGGGAAUUUUGGACAAUGGGCGCAAGCCUGAUCCAGCAAUGCCGCGUGCAGGAAGAAGGCCUUCGGGUUGUAAACUGCUUUUGUACGGAACGAAACGGUCUGGGUUAAUACCCUGGACUAAUGACGGUACCGUAAGAAUAAGCACCGGCUAACUACGUGCCAGCAGCCGCGGUAAUACGUAGGGUGCAAGCGUUAAUCGGAAUUACUGGGCGUAAAGCGUGCGCAGGCGGUGCUGUAAGACAGGCGUGAAAGCCCCGGGCUCAACCUGGGAAUUGCGCUUGUGACUGCAGUGCUGGAGUGCGGCAGAGGGGGAUGGAAUUCCGCGUGUAGCAGUGAAAUGCGUAGAUAUGCGGAGGAACACCGAUGGCGAAGGCAAUCCCCUGGGCCUGCACUGACGCUCAUGCACGAAAGCGUGGGGAGCAAACAGGAUUAGAUACCCGAGUAGUCC
This 450-nucleotide ribosomal RNA is filed under the name uncultured bacterium. RNAcentral's name for it is "partial 16S ribosomal RNA". It matches the Rfam family "Bacterial small subunit ribosomal RNA", at positions 354 to 796 of the family's 1533-position model. The record is from RNAcentral.